RNAcentral lists this ribosomal RNA (467 nucleotides) under uncultured bacterium. RNAcentral describes it as "partial 16S ribosomal RNA". It matches the Rfam family "Bacterial small subunit ribosomal RNA", at positions 28 to 506 of the family's 1533-position model. The record is from RNAcentral.
GACGAACGCUGGCGGCGUGCUUAACACAUGCAAGUCGAACGGAAAGGCCCUGCUUUUGUGGGGUGCUCGAGUGGCGAACGGGUGAGUAACACGUGAGUAACCUGCCCUUGACUUUGGGAUAACUUCAGGAAACUGGGGCUAAUACCGGAUAGGAGCUCCUGCUGCAUGGUGGGGGUUGGAAAGUUUCGGCGGUUGGGGAUGGACUCGCGGCUUAUCAGCUUGUUGGUGGGGUAGUGGCUUACCAAGGCUUUGACGGGUAGCCGGCCUGAGAGGGUGACCGGCCACAUUGGGACUGGGGUACGGCCCAGACUCCUACGGGAGGCAGCAGUGGGGAAUAUUGCACAAUGGGCGGAAGCCUGAUGCAGCAACGCCGCGUGCGGGAUGACGGCCUUCGGGUUGUAAACCGCUUUCGCCUGUGACGAAGCGUGAGUGACGGUAAUGGGGAAAGAAGCACCGGCUAACUACGU